RNAcentral lists this long non-coding RNA (1302 nucleotides) under Anser cygnoides (Swan goose). RNAcentral's name for it is "lncRNA (ENSACDG00005016032.1)". The record is from RNAcentral. Lineage: Eukaryota; Metazoa; Chordata; Aves; Anseriformes; Anatidae.
AAUAAAAAAACAAACAAACAACAACAACAAAAGUCAGAAGAGAGUAAAGCACCCAGGCAGACGCAAACAGAGCAAAACAAAACAAGAACAGCCACAACAGAGAGAGUGAGAUGUGCGAAAUGAAAUCGGCUGGGAGCAGGGGCAGGGGCUGGAGAGGCUGAGGGAGGCGUGGGGGUGUAGGGAGAGGGAAAGGGGGAAAGUGAGUGCGUGUGUGUGUGUGUGAGUGUGUGUGUGCGGGGGGAGACGGUCCGCUUCGGCACGGCUGGAGAGACCCUGGCGAGGAAACCGGGAUGGAAAGGAAGGAAACGGAGGAGAGAAACUAGAGUUGCUCUGAAUUAGGAAGGAAGGACGAAAAAAUCAAAUGUAAAUGAAUAAACAAGCAGAAUCCAAAGCAGCUAGAUAAAUAAAUCAUCACGGGGAAGGAGAGAGGAAAGGUGGGGUGCAUCGGAGGGGAGGGGGUGGGAGAUAAAGGGGGAAAUAAUCUGAAAGUUACCAGAAACAUUAUUUAGUAGCAAUUCCCCUUGUCCUUGUCAAAGCCAGAGACAAAAAAAAAAAAAGAAAAAAAAAGAAAAAAAAAAGCAGCUAUAUAUGUAUACAUAUAUAUACGUUCGUAUAUAUACACACACACAUAUGUAUUUGUUAGUCUGUCCUGGGCAGCAGCAGCAACGGCGGCAGCAGCAGCAGCAGCAGCAGCAAGCUUUCCCCUGUGAACCCCGUGCUACUGAGCAGCCAGAGAGCAGGGAAAUCGCGCUGCUGGGGGAAAAGCUAGAGAGGAAAAAAGCGUGGAACAAUUGCAGAGAGAGACACACACACACACAGAGACUCACGCACACACACAAAAAGCUAGUGAAUAAUUUUUGCUGCUAUUUUUUAAUAGUGGCCGCCAUCAUCAUCAGCAACAGAGGAGAGCAAAUCGGACAGGCCCCUCUUAAGAGAGGAUUUAUAUAUAGGUUGAGCGGGAUGAUUAACAAUUACACUGCAAGAGGAUCCAGUUCUCACAAGAGAAAAUGGUCCCACAGGAUCAAUGAAGGGGAAGAAGAACAAGAUGUAGGGUUAGCAAGUUCUCAGACAUCACCUGGUUUUCCAUGUUAGAAAAAAAAGAAUCUGGGUAUCUGUAGUCACAGUGAAUUAGAUUGGAUAUUCUUCUUAUAUUGGUGUUAAAAGGCAGAGAAGGCUCUUAAUUCCAAACAACACGUCCUAAGUCUAAAGUGUAUGCCUAACCAUCUUACUGUGUUUACAUACCUCCACACACCACGCUUUUCCCCAUCACAGUUAGCCAAUAAAGUCAAAGAGCAAAACUCA